CAAUAUCGUGUAAGAAUUGGUGCCAGGCUGAGGCCUGGCUUAAAAGGGAAGAACGGUGUGAGUCCGUCGCUGUCCCGCAACUGUAACUCGGAGUGAAUCACAGAAGCCACUGUCAAUAGACGGGAAGGCGUGAGGAACAUUGAUGAGAAGCCAGGAGACCUGCCAACUUCUAAGUACACAC
This 181-nucleotide non-coding RNA is filed under the name Domibacillus enclensis. Lineage: Bacteria; Bacillati; Bacillota; Bacilli; Caryophanales; Bacillaceae. The record is from RNAcentral.